Molecule: ribosomal RNA, 253 nt
Filed under: uncultured bacterium
Lineage: Bacteria
Description: partial 16S ribosomal RNA
Rfam family: Bacterial small subunit ribosomal RNA
Source: RNAcentral
UACAGAGGGUGCAAGCGUUGUUCGGAAUUAUUGGGCGUAAAGGGCGCGUAGGCGGUGCGGUAAGUCUGCAGUGAAAUCUCUGGGCUCAACUCAGAGUCUGCUGUGGAAACUGCCGUGCUUGAGUGUGGGAGAGGUGAGUGGAAUUCCCGGUGUAGCGGUGAAAUGCGUAGAUAUCAAGAGGAACACCUGAGGUGAAGACGGGUUGCUGGGCCAACACUGACGCUGAUGCGCGAAAGCCAGGGGAGCAAACGGG